GAUGAACGCUGGCGGCGUGCUUGAUACAUGCAAGUCGAACGGAGAGUGUAGCAAUAUACUUUUAGUGGCGAACGGGUGAGUAACGCGUUGGUGACCUGCCCCGAAGCGAGGGAUAACAGUUCGAAAGAACUGCUAAUACCUCAUGUGAUCACCGGUUUUAGAAUCUGGUGAUUAAAGGUGAAAAUCACUUCGGGAGGGGCCUGCGUCCCAUCAGCUAGUUGGUAAGGUAAUGGCUUACCAAGGCGAUGACGGGUAGGGGACCUGAGAGGGUGGCCCCCCACAAUGGAACUGAAACACGGUCCAUACACCUACGGGUGGCAGCAGUAGGGAAUAUUGCAAAUGGGCGAAAGCCUGAUGUAGCAACGCCGCGUGUGCGAUGAAGGUCUUCGGAUUGUAAAGCACUUUUUGGAGGGAUGAGGAAGGACAGUACCUCCAGAAUAAGCCUCGGCUAACUACGUGCCAGCAGCCGCGGUAAGCUAGUCUACG
This 486-nucleotide ribosomal RNA is filed under the name uncultured bacterium. RNAcentral describes it as "bacterial SSU rRNA". It matches the Rfam family "Bacterial small subunit ribosomal RNA", at positions 28 to 536 of the family's 1533-position model. The record is from RNAcentral.